RNAcentral lists this ribosomal RNA (418 nucleotides) under uncultured bacterium. RNAcentral's name for it is "bacterial SSU rRNA". It matches the Rfam family "Bacterial small subunit ribosomal RNA", at positions 338 to 795 of the family's 1533-position model. The record is from RNAcentral.
CCUACGGGGCGCACCAGUGGGGAAUUUUCCGCAAUAGGCGAAAGCCUGACGGAGCAAUGCCGCGUGGAGGUAGAAGGCCCACGGGUCGUGAACUUCUUUUCCCGGAGAAGAAGCCCCGGCUAACUUCGUGCCAGCAGCCGCGGUAAUACGAAGGGGGCUAGCGUUGUUCGGAAAUACUGGGCGUAAAGCGCGCGUAGGCGGAUAGAUAAGUCAGAGGUGAAAUCCCGGGGCUCAACCCCGGAAUUGCCUUUGAUACUGUUUAUCUUGAGUGCAGAAGAGGUAAGUGGAAUUCCGAGUGUAGAGGUGAAAUUCGUAGAUAUUCGGAGGAACACCAGUGGCGAAGGCGGCUUACUGGUCUGCAACUGACGCUGAGGCGCGAAAGCGUGGGGAGCAAACAGGAUUAGAUACCCGGGUAGUC